RNAcentral lists this long non-coding RNA (7102 nucleotides) under Taeniopygia guttata (zebra finch). RNAcentral describes it as "lncRNA (ENSTGUG00000020015.1)". Lineage: Eukaryota; Metazoa; Chordata; Aves; Passeriformes; Estrildidae. The record is from RNAcentral.
AGAGAGAACAGGAAGCGAACUUGGAUUCAAAGCAAAACACACCACAACAGGACUCGAUGACCUUAGAGAUAUUUUCCAAAUUUAAUUAUCCCAUGAUUCUGUGAUUCUAAGAGCCAGGACAAAGCCAGAAGAAGCAGCAGCAUGAAGGACACUUGGAAAUCACAUAUAAAACUUGCAAGAGUUUUUGUGUGGGUUCUUAACUGGCACGGACAGGGAUUAUGAAACUCGCUGUUAUUUCCUUGGCUCAGACCUUGGGAAGUGUCCAGGCUUUGACAGGAGCAGUGUCUUUUGGUCUGUCUUCAGUUGAUCACCUUUCUGCUGACCCUGAAGCCCAGGAGAAGCUCAGUCUGAAUGUCAAAUUCUCCUCUGGCAUAAUGGGAUCAUGCAGCUGGAAGCAAAGAGCAGUGGGAAUCACUCCCUGUGCCACUGUCCAGGAUGAUCUCCAGGAUUUGCCCAGAAGACCAAUGCUCAAGUGCUGUGGGACUCUGAUUGCCUUCGCCUGGACUGAGAAUUCUGCCUCAGUUUGUAAAAUCCAACUCAAUAACAGCAGUCUGAUCACCUCAACAAUACUGGGAGCAUUUUUUCUGCCUUUAUUUGUUCAUAGAGGACCUUUCUUUGUUCUUCAAAAUUAUUAAAGUUCAAUUAUUAUGCAGUCACAAUGUGUUCAGUGUUGCUCUUGUAUUGGAACCUCAGCUUCAUCAAUAUUCACCACUUCCCAGACUGCUGGAUUUGUUGAUUAAAUAGCAAUUUGGAGAUCUGGAGAUAUCUGAUGAGAGAAUAUUUAUUGUUAUCACAGAAUCCCAGAAUGGUUUGGUUUGGAAGUGACCUUAAGGACCAGAUCCAUGGGCAGAGGCACCUUCCCCUGGAGUGGAGGGGCAAAACUACCUCCAUAAGGACUUUAAGGAAAAUAAAAAUAGGUUAAAAUAGGUUCCCACUGUAAUGUACCUCUUUGAUUUGGAAGGACCCUUCCCACUCUGGCUGUUGAAAAUGAGCUGAUGUGCUCAGGAUGCCAAUGGGAACUGGAUCUUCCCACCUUUCCCUACCAUGAAAUGAUUUGGCUACAAGCAAAUAACUUUAUUUCCCUCUCCAUGGGCCUACUUUAGGCCUUGCUAAACCAGGAUCCUUAGGGAGCCCAUAAACAUUUCAGGUUUCAGGUUCCAAGGUCCCAGGACAGUUCCUGCACUGAAAUCUGGUCACAGGCUGAAUUUCUGCCAUUCCCUGCCAGGAGAAGCUCAGCAAUCCACCAGAAAUCUCCAGUGGUCUCAGUUAUUGCACCCAGUCAGGUCUGGGGGUUUUCUCCCCUCCCCAGCCCCACAGCUGGGUGUGCUCAGCCCCCACUGGGAUCCUGCCUGGUUCUGGGAUUUACCUUUCUGUACUAAACCCUCUAAGGUAAAGGACCCAUGGAAUGGGAAAAUUACCUCAAAAAUCAGGUUACUCCCUCCAAAAGGACACAACUCCUCCACGUCCUGACCCCUGUGCUGCCUUGGAACCAGCAUUCCUUGGAACCAGCAUUCCUUCUUCUUGUUCCUAUUGAUCCCAUGAAUAAGUGAUUGGCUCCUCAUGAUGGGGAAGUGGUAACUGGAGUUUCCUUAAGGGCACAAGUGCCAAGCUAAAUAUUUCAAACCUCCAUAAAUAAUUAAACCUUCUCUUCAACAGAAGGAGAUUGGGGCUGUAAUUCCCUUUCUCAGUGAAUGAUCUCUGGCCUUCUCGGUGCAGGGAACUCACCUGGGAGCCACAACUAACUCAGCAGUUGUGCUGCUGGGUUUAUUUCUGUACCCAAGGCAGGCUGUGUUGCUUCUGCAGGUGCAGACACAGAGCAGUUUCACAUUUCCCUGACGCAGGGCUGGGCUCCAAGCAGGGAGCUCCUUGCUGAGGUUCAGGCAAAUCCCUCAGGCUCUGCCAUCUGGGAGUUGUGAUUCUUUGUGGAUUUAGUGAAAGAUGGGGAAAUUGGGGCGUUUACGAGUCACAUCUUCAUGGCAGCAAAAAGCUUCUUUAACUAUUCAUUAAACCCCUUUGUCAAAAUUAAAGGAAUAUCAAGAAAGGUGAUGAUGACAUCACUGCAGGGUUUGGGAGUCCUGGGAAGACGUGGGAGAAGGUGGAGGCUGGGAAGACACAGGAGAGAAUAAACUCAUUUCUUCCACCAGCAAAGGCUGAUUUUGGCUUUUUUGAAUGGCAGAGUUCAGGAGAAGGCAGGAGGUGGAGGAGGAUAAGCUGGGCCCCAGGUUUAAAUGUACAGCCCAUAUAGGCCCGACUUCCAUAAGCCAGGAGUGGGUUGGGAGCUCUCUCCUCCUGCUCUUUUUCCAGGUAGCUCUGGGAGGAGGAGCAGCAAUUUUUUGUGGAGUCCAACACUGAAGAGUGCUCCCAGCCCAGCUGAAUCCAGUGCUUCCUCUGAGCCAGGAAUCCCCUGGUUCCAAAUGCCAGGCUCUGGACUAGUGCUGUUCUUUUAAUUUGCUAAUUAGGUGGGUUCGUUAAAGCAGCUGGGGUUGUUUCUGCCUCCUCAGCAUUUUCUCACCGGACACUGUGUUCUCAGUAGUUCACAAAAAGCUACAGAAACUUUUUGUGUCAUAAACUGUGGGGUUUUCUUUGAGGUCUUGUGAGGAAUUUUCCUCAGGUUGUUUGCUAAGGAGCCUUCCAGAGGUACAGUCCCAGCAGAGGAUAAAUACCCCCAUUAUGCUGCCACUUGCUAAAGACAGGGAAAUAUUUCAUGCUGUGCUAUAACACAGAGAGAAACCUGUGACCCUGAUGAGCUCCUUGCCUUGGACUUGUACAAAUUCUGCGUGGGGAAGAGGAGAAUUGGGCUGUUUGGCUAAAUCAGGGCAGGAAAACUAUGGGAGCUGCUGUGACAAGGUCAGGACAGUUUGGCUCACAAAGCUCUUGACUGUGUAAGACACUUCUGCCUGAGGCUGAUUUGUUUGGGGUGCAGGAGACUGGAGCAGUUUGGAGCCUGAAUAGAAGAAAAGACUGAUUGCAGAAAUCUUGGCCUCAGGCGGAAUUUUCCCUAUAAAAACCGCUUGUGCCAGGAUGGAGGUGUGUGGGCAUGGAGGAAAACCUCUGCUGAGGCUGACUCCUUGUUGCACACCCAGGGCCGACCCCGGGCUCGGCUCUGUGUUUUUUUUUUCCCGUGGCUGGCUAGAUAGAAUUUAACCACUAAUAAAACUAUUUUUAUUUUUAAUUUGGCUGAAUAAAUUUUCAUUUAUAACACCAGCCGAUGUUCUCUGUCCCCACGCUGGAAUCAACAGGUGCUGCUCCCUUGGCACUGCCUGGCCUGUUUCCUUUGCUGUACUUUGGUUCCCGUGGAGCCGAGGUUCUUUGUGCCUCUGAUUGCUCAGCUUUGAUAAGGCUUAUUUUUCAUUAAUCAUCUCGGGAUGCCUUCCGGCCUGUUAUUUUUUAUGAGGAUUUCACAGCUCAUGUUUGCCCAGUGUUUGGGAUGAAUGCUCAUGAAGCUUAUCCCGAUCCUCAGGCAGCUCAGUGAGACACCUGCAGAACCUGCCUGCUUUGCAGCACGUAAUUCCAAUAAUUCCAGUGGUUCCAAGGGAAUUCCCCACUCCGAUCUUUAAAGACAGACACAACCACGAGUAAUGUGCCCAGCCAGGGGCUUUGUUCUUUACAGGGCAGCUCUAAAACAACAAAUUGCAGUGUUGGCAUUGGCUGGGGAGUGGUUUCUUCCUGUGUCCUUGGGGACUGGGCAGGUUCAGGGCCUGAGAAAUCACAUUUCCCUACCACUCAUGGUAUAUCCAGGACUAUUUUAAAAGCUAAACUGCUGGAAUAUUUCUUUUUGUUUGCUUAAGGCUUGUGUUUCCAUCAAAAUGACAAAUAUAAAAAUGAAGCAUUUAAAGUGAAGGAAGGAAGACUUUAUUUAACUUCUCUUUGGCAGCCAGGGUUUAAAAAAAAACCCAAACUGCAAUUCUCAAUAGAGACAAGGUCCAGCUCCCAUCUCCAGAGGAGUUUAGGAAUUGUGAGGGAAACCUUGCAUUGUCAAAAAAUCAACUUUCCCCCAAAGCAUCCCAAUUUUAGUGGAGGAUUUUCCAUUCAGAGAAGUGUUUAAAUCAGGGAAUAUUUGACUGCAUCCAAAAAGAUAAAGGUAUUUGGGUAAAGGUAUUGCCAAACUUGGCAAAUAUUCAGAUUGCUAAAUCUCAGAAUCAUGGGUUUAAAUGAGAUAUUGGGAAGAGAUUCUUGGCUGUGAGGGUGGGCAGGCCUGGCACAGGUGCCCAGAGCAGCUGUGGCUGCCCCUGGAAGUGUCCAAGGGGCUUGGAGCAGCCUGGGAUGGUGGGAGGUGUCACUGGGUGGGUUUAAAGGUCCUUUCCAACCCAAACUCAUUUAUUUUAGUGGUGAAAGAUACUCCAAAUAGAGCUCCAAACAGAGGAAGUUUCUCUGAGAUGUGGAAAAUAAACACCAGAAAUGCAGGAAUUGAACAACUCUUUUGCUGGUGCCUCCCCAAUGAUUUCCACUCCAGUCAGUGGCAGAAUUUGCCUGGGGCUCUUUCCUGGAGCAGUCAGUGCCCUGGUCAGGGGCUCUGGGUUGGCUCUGGGCUUGUGCAGAGGGUGAUCAUUGAACCAAAUGCUUUAGAGGAGAAUUGAACCUUCUUGGUUUUGGGGGGUUGGUAGCUUUUUAUUUCUUUUCACUUCUGUAGGUAGAUAUUGAUUUUUUUUUUUAUGUUCUUGUAUGAUUUGUAAAGGCUGUUGGCUUUAUGUUUGCUGUAGAGGAAGAAGAAAGGAGAGCAAAUGAGUGAAUUGCAAACACAAAGUGAUUUUUCUGAUGGAGCUGUAAAGAAAAACAAAAGGAAAGCUGUGGAUGCUGUCACUGAACUGACACCAAGUUGUUAUCAAAGGAAACACCGUUACCAGAGCAUUGUUUAAUACAAAUCCUCUUGUCUUGGCCUUUGUAAGAAGGGAGGAUUUAGAACAACCAUACCAGAACAGCAGGAACAAAAAAAAAAUCCCCAAACCACCCCCCAGCUGCUCGAGAAACAAAGGGGGGGGACUCUCAGCACAGUUGAGAUGUUUCCACCGAUUGCACACAAAGUCUGCUCUGGGCAAGUGCCCAAACUGUCCCCGGUGCUGAUGCCACAACAUCUGUGGGGUCCUGGCAUCUGAGCAUUGCCAGGGAUGCUCCCAGCACAAUUCAUCUGUCCCACUCCCAUUCCCAAAUGAAACAAAGCCUCUGGGAAGGGAUCAGAAGAAGGCUCCAUAGCAGGAAUUGUGCUUGGAGCUAAUGAGACACUGAUUGUGGUUAAUUAAACACCAAGUGAUUGCAAUCCCUGCACAUUUAUUGGAGGCAGCGGCAGCUGCUGAGCUGCAGCCUGGAAUCACCAACUGGACCCAGGACCAGUCUCACAAUUCUGAAUAUUUAUUUGAUUUAAUUUGAUUGUAUUUAGACUUAAGCUAAUAAGAAUGCGGUGCUUUCCCUCUGGCAUUGCAUUGUUCCUGGAACCAUAGGAUCAUGGAAUAUCAAGAGUUCUUGCUAGGCAGGCAGGGCGGGGUGAUGAAGAGAGGGCGAGCGGGCAGGGCUGCAGCUCCUCCUGCAGUGAGGGUCUGCGUCUGUUGUUGCUGCUGCUUGGUUGGUUUCUGUGCUUUUGUUAGUAAUGGUUUUUACACAGUCAAAAACUCCACUUAGUGCAAGUGUAUGUAGCCAGGUAGAGCCCUCCAGAAAGGACACAUCUGUCCUGUCAGACCCACUCCUGUGCGGACUGUUUGAGCCACUGAGCGGUUUCAGGGGCCGUUGGGGAGGGAACUGCCGUCGGUGUGAACAGUGAAUGAUCUCCUUUCCCUGCUGGCGAGCUUAGAGAGGGAAUCAGGGUCAGUGAAAGGGAAAUAGACUGCUGGAGUUCUGCUCUUCCAUGCUUGAGAGAGGCCCAGCAAGAGUCAGAGGACGCCCAGCCUUCCCACUGUCAGGCAAUAGAGGGGCACCUGGCAGAUGAAGGGGAGUGGAAAUGGGCCCCUGCUCAGGGAGGUUAUGAUAAAAAUUCCUCCCGACCCCCAUCCCCUAGCCAGGUGCCACUUCAGAAUAGGUGUGAGCCCCUGGAUCCAGAGGGUCAGCCAGAGGACAUAGAAGAAAAUGAUCUGCUCAGUGAGCCUCCCAAUAACGAUUCAUCUGUCAGACAGAUCGCUGCCUCUGACACUAAAAAGAAAAGAAAGGUGAUGGUAGUGGGUGACUCCCUUCUGAGGGGAGCAGAGGGCCCCGUAUAUCGACCAGAGCCGCCUCACAGGGAAGUCUGCUGCCUCCCUGGGCCCGGGUACGGGAUAUCCCUGAGAGACUGCCUGGGCUGAUUCAGCCCUCUGAUUGUUGCCCACUGCUGAUACCCCCGGCUGGCAGUGAUGAGACUGAAAAGAGGAGUGUCAGGGCACUUAAAAGGGACUUUAGGGCAUUGGGUCAGGUGGUCAAUAGGACAGGGGCACAGACAGUCUUUUCCUCAGUCCCUUUGGAGUCUGAGAAAUACGGUGAAAGCAGUAGGAGAGCUCACAUUAUCAACGAGUGGCUCAAGGGUUGGUGUCAUCAGCAAAAUUUUGGAUUCUUUGGUCAUGGGGCAACUUUUACAGUACCUGACCUGCUUGUGAAAAAUGCAUAUUUUAUGAUUGGCUUUUCACAAAUGUUACAAUGAAUAUUAUAUGUGUAAUGUUAGAAAGUUAUGCUGUAUUAAUUCUCUUAAAUAGUGUGUUAAAUAUAGUUUUAGGUUCCAACAUAAUGUUAAAAUAGAGACUGUGUAUGUGGGGGAAGUUUUUUUUUUUUUAAGCAUGAGAUACUCACUUCGAGGAACACCUAAAUCUUCCAAAGAAAAGGAAUUUAUGGCUUCUUAUCAGAAGAAGCGAAUUUCUUCAGGCCUUGCUCAGACUCAAAGAUGCCAGGGGAUUAAAGGAAACAGUUGACAUACAACAGACAGAGUUCUUGUUUAGAAUAGAACAUAUGCAUAACCAUAAAGGAUGUAUGAAUAUGCAACAAAUGUAUUGGUUUAAGGGUGAUUCCUUUGUUCACAAGGGAUGCUUUUCAUGACUGAGUGUCCAAGAGCAUCUGGACAUCCGUAAUUCUUUGCUUUUUAUUGUCUUGUAAUUGUCCUAACUCUAAACUUUAUUGCUCUAAUUGUAUUAUUGUUUUUUAUAACUAUUUU